AUUGAACGCUGGCGGCAUGCCUUCACAUGCAAGUCGAACGGCAGCACGGGUGCUUGCACCUGGUGGCGAGUGGCGAACGGGUGAGUAAUACAUCGGAACGUACCUUAUCGUGGGGGAUAACGCAGCGAAAGCUGUGCUAAUACCGCAUACGCCCUGAGGGGGAAAGCGGGGGAUCGCAAGACCUCGCGCGAUUAGAGCGGCCGAUGCCUGAUUAGCUUGUUGGUGGGGUAAAAGCCCACCAAGGCGACGAUCAGUAGCUGGUCUGAGAGGACGAUCAGCCACACUGGGACUGAGACACGGCCCAGACUCCUACGGGAGGCAGCAGUGGGGAAUUUUGGACAAUGGGGGCAACCCUGAUCCAGCAAUGCCGCGUGAGUGAAGAAGGCCUUCGGGUUGUAAAGCUCUUUUGUCAGGGAAGAAACACCGGCUCUAACACAGUCCGGGAAUGACGGUACCUGAAGAAUAAGCACCGGCUAACUACGUGCCAGCCGCCGCGGUA
This 499-nucleotide ribosomal RNA is filed under the name uncultured bacterium. RNAcentral describes it as "partial 16S ribosomal RNA". It matches the Rfam family "Bacterial small subunit ribosomal RNA", at positions 29 to 522 of the family's 1533-position model. The record is from RNAcentral.